AAAAAAUACAGUUUUGCACUAUUCAUCUUCAACAUUUGACCGUUCGUUUUAUUUGAAAAAAUUUUAUGAUUACUAUUUUUAUUGCUAUUAGAUGAUAAAAUAUGAAUAGUACUUUAUGUGUGGCUAAUUUUUUUAAAAAAUUUCAUAAAUUUUUCAAUAAGACGAACGGUCAAACGUUAGACACGAAUUUUCACAAAUGUAUUUAUU
Molecule: microRNA precursor, 207 nt
Organism: Oryza sativa Indica Group (long-grained rice)
Lineage: Eukaryota; Viridiplantae; Streptophyta; Magnoliopsida; Poales; Poaceae
Rfam family: MIR812 microRNA precursor family
Source: Rfam